RNAcentral lists this ribosomal RNA (282 nucleotides) under uncultured Eubacterium sp. RNAcentral describes it as "partial 16S ribosomal RNA". It matches the Rfam family "Bacterial small subunit ribosomal RNA", at positions 605 to 888 of the family's 1533-position model. The record is from RNAcentral. Lineage: Bacteria; Bacillati; Bacillota; Clostridia; Eubacteriales; Eubacteriaceae.
AGGCUCAACCUUAAAAUUGCCGUUGAAACUGUUUUUCUUGAGUAUAUUUGAAGUAGGCGGAAUUCGUGGUGUAGCGGUGAAAUGCAUAGAUAUCACGAAGAACUCCAAUUGCGAAGGCAGCUUACUAAACUAUAACUGACGCUGAAGCACGAAAGCGUGGGUAUCAAACAGGAUUAGAUACCCUGGUAGUCCACGCCGUAAACGAUGAUUACUAGCUGUUUGUGAUAUUACAAUAAGCGGCUAAGCGAAAGCGAUAAGUAAUCCACCUGGGGAGUACGCCGG